GACGAACGCUGGCGGCGUGCUUAACACAUGCAAGUCGAACGAUGAAGAAGAGCUUGCUCUUCGGAUUAGUGGCGAACGGGUGAGUAACACGUGACUAACCUGCCCCUUUCUCUGGGAUAACGCUCCGAAAGGAGUGCUAAUACCGGAUACUCACAUCGAGGCACAUGCCUUGAUGUGGAAAGUUUUUCGGAAAGGGAUGGAGUCGCGGCCUAUCAGCUUGUUGGUGAGGUAACGGCUCACCAAGGCGACGACGGGUAGCCGGCCUGAGAGGGCGACCGGCCACACUGGGACUGAGACACGGCCCAGACUCCUGCGGGAGGCAGCAGUGGGGAAUAUUGCACAAUGGGCGGAAGCCUGAUGCAGCGACGCCGCGUGAGGGAUGAAGGUCUUCGGAUUGUAAACCUCUUUCAGUAGGGACGAAGCGAAAGUGACGGUACCUAAAGAAGAAGCACCGGCUAACUACGUGCCAGCCGCCGCGGUAA
RNAcentral lists this ribosomal RNA (482 nucleotides) under uncultured bacterium. Its description in RNAcentral is "partial 16S ribosomal RNA". It matches the Rfam family "Bacterial small subunit ribosomal RNA", at positions 28 to 523 of the family's 1533-position model. The record is from RNAcentral.